UUUAAACUUUUUAAAUGGAGAAUUGGCAACUCUUUAUUUAUAUAAAAUUAAUGGCCUGAGAAAAAUUGACAGUUCUUGUCUAACAAACAAUUCCAAUUAGUUUCGAACUGGUUGAUUUUUUUAGAAUUUGCAUUGUGUGUGAAUUAUUUAUAAAAUAAAAACGGAUAAUGAUUGAUAAUAUACCAAAAUGGUAUAGAUUAGAGUUAUUCAAUGAUGAUGACGAUGACAACGAUGAACUGGAACUCCCCGUACUGAAUCAACUUUUAUUUCCAGAUGAAGGUGACGCUGAAUUCGAUGAUGAAAUUAUUCACGAUGACCGUUUUGUGGAGGAGGAUGAUGAAGUUAUUCACAUUCACACAUUUAUGUUUAAUGGUGAAGACAAUAUACCAAUAGAAGAAGAUAGCAUGAUAGAAGACGAAAGGUCUGAAAUUAUAGCUUGCGAUGUACAUCCCCACUUAAGCUUGGCGAUUACCAGCGGAAUUGAAGGCGGUGCUUUGUUAUGGCUUACUAAAGAAAUGGCACGCUUAGAGUACAUUUCAGUAAAGCAAAAACUAACAAAUUUAAAGUUUAGUCAAGAUGGCUCGUAUUUAGGAACAGGUAGUUGUAUUGGUGAAGUUGCUGUUUAUAGUGUACUACCUCCUUUACCAGAAGGACGCUACAUAUUUCAUCCUGUGUUCCUGCUAAACGUGUGGCAAUUUUCAAUGAGAUCAUUAAAUUGGUUACGCUGGCAUCCUACUGCAAACAUACUUUUCGCAGGCGGACAUACCGGUGAAGUGCUUAUAUAUGGUAUAAAAAUUAAGCAAGAAUAUGACUUUGUCAAGUUAUUACCUGGCGAAGGUGAAAGCUGUGAGAAUAGUGUAGUUAGUCAUGAUGGCGAAAAACUAUUUCUCUUGUAUAUUAGCAAGAUAAAAAGUUUUGAUAUAGAAAAAUUCAAUACUUUAUGGAUAGUUAAUACUUAUAUUCUGCACAAAGAAAUCGUAUGCAAUAUAGAAUGUUCUAUGGAUUUAUCUGGUGAGACUCAUGUAAUUCACUGGUAAAUAAACUUUGAGACUAUGCUGUCCAUUUCUUGCAUACCAUUUAUAAGAGACCCAUAUAUAUUCUCGUAUUACGUUUGGAUUGAAUAAAUGAAAAUGUAGUAGUAACAUCAACUGAAAUUGGACAUAUUAUUAUUGGUAGUGAUAUACUAAUAUAAGGAUGGAAUAAGUAAAAAUUUUAAUUUAUAUAUAAAAAAAGAACAGCAGAAAAUUGUAUCUUAACUGCAUUAAAUAAUACCUCUAUAAAAUU
Molecule: RNA transcript, 1284 nt
Organism: Teleopsis dalmanni
Lineage: Eukaryota; Metazoa; Arthropoda; Insecta; Diptera; Diopsidae
Exons: 3
Source: RefSeq, a predicted model, not a curated record